UACAACAUAGGAAAUCUGCCUUAGGGUGGGGACGAACAGAGGGAAACUUCUGCUAAUACCCCAUAUGAGCUUGGUUGAAAUACCAAUCUUGAAAGUUCCGGCGCCCUAAGAUGAGCCUGUGCCUGAUUAGCUAGUUGGUGGUGUAAUGGACUACCAGGGCGACGAUCAGUAGCUGGUUUGAGAGGAUGAUCAGCCACAAUGGGACUGAGACACGGCCCAUACUCCUACGGAAGGCAGCAG
This 240-nucleotide ribosomal RNA is filed under the name uncultured bacterium. Its description in RNAcentral is "partial 16S ribosomal RNA". It matches the Rfam family "Bacterial small subunit ribosomal RNA", at positions 111 to 354 of the family's 1533-position model. The record is from RNAcentral.